GACGAACGCUGGCGGCGUGCUUAACACAUGCAAGUCGAGCGGUAAGGCCCUUUCGGGGGUACACGAGGCGGCGAACGGGUGAGUAACACGUGGGUGACCUGCCUCUAGCUCUGGGAUAAGCCUGGGAAGCUGGGUCUAAUACCGGAUAUGACCUCGCGGUGCAUGUUGCGGGGUGGAAAGCCUUGUGCGGCUAGGGAGUGGGCCCGCGGCCUAUCAGCUUGUUGGUGGGGUGAGGCCUACCAAGGCGGACGACGGGUAGCCGGCCUGAGAGGGCGACCGGCC
RNAcentral lists this ribosomal RNA (282 nucleotides) under uncultured bacterium. Its description in RNAcentral is "partial 16S ribosomal RNA". It matches the Rfam family "Bacterial small subunit ribosomal RNA", at positions 28 to 309 of the family's 1533-position model. The record is from RNAcentral.